Molecule: transfer RNA, 72 nt
Filed under: Micromonospora sp. WMMD812
Lineage: Bacteria; Bacillati; Actinomycetota; Actinomycetes; Micromonosporales; Micromonosporaceae
Description: tRNA-OTHER
Rfam family: tRNA
About the family: Transfer RNA (tRNA) molecules are approximately 80 nucleotides in length. Their secondary structure includes four short double-helical elements and three loops (D, anti-codon, and T loops).
Source: RNAcentral
GCCCCGCUAGCUCAGGGGAUAGAGCAGCAGUUUCCUAACUGCGUGUCGCUGGUUCGAUUCCAGCGCGGGGCA